RNAcentral lists this ribosomal RNA (253 nucleotides) under uncultured bacterium. RNAcentral describes it as "partial 16S ribosomal RNA". It matches the Rfam family "Bacterial small subunit ribosomal RNA", at positions 524 to 776 of the family's 1533-position model. The record is from RNAcentral.
UACAGAGGGUGCGAGCGUUGUCCGGAAUCACUGGGCGUAAAGGGCUCGUAGGCGGCCAACUAAGUCCGACGUGAAAUCCCCAGGCUUAACCUGGGAACUGCGUCGGAUACUGGAUGGCUUGAAUCCGGGAGAGGGAUGCGGAAUUCCAGGUGUAGCGGUGAAAUGCGUAGAUAUCUGGAGGAACACCGGUGGCGAAGGCGGCAUCCUGGACCGGCAUUGGCGCUGAGGAGCGAAAGCCAGGGGAGCAAACGGG